AAGUCAGCCAUGUUUGUUUAGUUCUUAGCAGAUCACAUGUGGGGAAAUUUGAUCCAGCGACAUCUGCCUUUUAUUUGUGCCAUCGACACCACCGUCUAUUGUGAAAAUACAUUGCACCUGUGGUGAGGGCGCGAUCAUGAAAACAAUGUGACAUGCCAUUGGAUGUUUGGACACAUAACGACAUGACCAUAAACAUCGGCCAAUGAAUUAGAACUGACAACCACAAGGUCGUGGGUAUGGCUGUGGAAAGCGCGGUGGAAGAGAGAGAUUGAAAGAUCAUCCACGCAGUGCUGCAAGAUUAGUGGCGUGUAUUCUCAGAUUUACUCAGUAAGUUGUAAAGGUCUAAUUGAAGCCCCCAAAAAAGGAAAGGAAGAGAUUGAAUUGCAGAUUGAAUUGCAUCCCAAGGUCAUUUGAGCACUGAAGAGAUACACAACUGCAGCAGAUCUGUUGCCUAUGGGCACUGUAUGUUCUCUCUCGCCUCUCAAAAGCAAUUAUAAAAAUC
This is a long non-coding RNA of Oreochromis aureus, 502 nucleotides long. The record is from Ensembl. Lineage: Eukaryota; Metazoa; Chordata; Actinopteri; Cichliformes; Cichlidae.